GUGAGGAAUAUUGCGCAAUGGAGGCAACUCUGACGCAGCCAUGCCGCGUGCAGGAAGAAGGCGCUACGCGUUGUAAACUGCUUUUAACCGGGAAGAAACCCCAGGACGUGUCCUGGGUUGACGGUACCGGAGGAAUAAGCACCGGCUAACUUCGUGCCAGCAGCCGCGGUAAUACGAAGGGUGCAAGCGUUAUCCGGAUUCAUUGGGUUUAAAGGGUGCGUAGGCGGAGCGUUAAGUCAGUGGUGAAAUCCUGCAGCUUAACUGUAGACUUGCCAUUGGUACUGGCGCUCUUGAGUGCGCUUGAAGUGGGCGGAAUGUGCCGUGUAGCGGUGAAAUGCUUAGAUAUGGCACAGAACACCAAUUGCGAAGGCAGCUCACUAAGGCGAUACUGACGCUGAGGCACGAAAGCGUGGGGAUCGAACAGGAUUAGAAACCCGGGUAGUCC
This 445-nucleotide ribosomal RNA is filed under the name uncultured bacterium. RNAcentral's name for it is "partial 16S ribosomal RNA". It matches the Rfam family "Bacterial small subunit ribosomal RNA", at positions 354 to 796 of the family's 1533-position model. The record is from RNAcentral.